UUUGAAAAGAAGGGAAAUAUUAGAUCUAGGUAUAUUGGACCUUUUGGGAUUAUUUGGACUAUUAGGGAUGUGGCUUACGUGUUAGUAUUAUCGAAGAUUUAUCGGCUGUUCAUCUAAUUUUUCAUAUUUUUAUGCUUAUGAAUUACAUUUUGAAUAAGUCUCACGUCAUUCAUUAGGAUUCAGUUCAGUUAGAUAAGCAGUUUUCUUCUAUUGGGGACCCCGU
RNAcentral lists this long non-coding RNA (223 nucleotides) under Capsicum annuum. Its description in RNAcentral is "long non-coding RNA (CANN_LNC014276)". The record is from RNAcentral. Lineage: Eukaryota; Viridiplantae; Streptophyta; Magnoliopsida; Solanales; Solanaceae.